RNAcentral lists this ribosomal RNA (448 nucleotides) under Lancefieldella parvula. RNAcentral describes it as "bacterial SSU rRNA". It matches the Rfam family "Bacterial small subunit ribosomal RNA", at positions 28 to 488 of the family's 1533-position model. Lineage: Bacteria; Bacillati; Actinomycetota; Coriobacteriia; Coriobacteriales; Atopobiaceae. The record is from RNAcentral.
GAUGAACGCUGGCGGCGCGCCUAACACAUGCAAGUCGAACGAUUAAAGCACCUUCGGGUGUGUAUAAAGUGGCGAACGGCUGAGUAACACGUGGGCAACCUGCCCCUCUCAUUGGGAUAGCCACGGGAAACCGUGGAUAAUACCGAAUACUUCGAGACUUCCGCAUGGAAGACUCGAGAAAGCUCCGGCGGAGAGGGAUGGGCCCGCGGCCUGUUAGCUUGUUGGUGGGGUAACGGCCUACCAAGGCAAUGAUGGGUAGCUGGGUUGAGAGACCGACCAGCCAGAUUGGGACUGAGACACGGCCCAGACUCCUACGGGAGGCAGCAGUGGGGAAUCUUGCACAAUGGGCGAAAGCCUGAUGCAGCGACGCCGCGUGCGGGAUGAAGGCCUUCGGGUUGUAAACCGCUUUCAGCAGGGACGAGGCGAAAGUGACGGUACCUGCAGAAGA